UACGGAGGGAGCUAGCGUUGUUCGGAAAUACUGGGCGUAAAGCGCACGUAGGCGGCGCAGCAAGUCAGGGGUGAAAUCCCGGGGCUCAACCCCGGAAUAGCCUUUGAGACUGCAUCGCUAGAAUUGUGGAGAGGUAAGUGGAAUUCCGAGUGUAGAGGUGAAAUUCGUAGAUAUUCGGAAGAACACCAGUGGCGAAGGCGACUUACUGGACACAUAUUGACGCUGAGGUGUGAAAGCGUGGGGAGCGAACAGG
This 253-nucleotide ribosomal RNA is filed under the name uncultured bacterium. RNAcentral describes it as "partial 16S ribosomal RNA". It matches the Rfam family "Bacterial small subunit ribosomal RNA", at positions 524 to 776 of the family's 1533-position model. The record is from RNAcentral.